AUUGGGGAAUUUUCCGCAAUGGGCGAAAGCCUGACGGAGCAAUACCGCGUGAGGGAGGAAGGCUCUUGGGUUGUAAACCUCUUUUCUCAGGGAAGAAUUUAAUGACGGUACCUGAGGAAUAAGCAUCGGCUAACUCCGUGCCAGCAGCCGCGGUAAUACGGAGGAUGCAAGCGUUAUCCGGAAUGAUUGGGCGUAAAGCGUCCGCAGGUGGCGAUGUAAGUCUGCUGUUAAAGAAUCUGGCUCAACCAGAUAAAGGCAGUGGAAACUACAUGGCUAGAGUGCGUUCGGGGCAGAGGGAAUUCCUGGUGUAGCGGUGAAAUGCGUAGAGAUCAGGAAGAACACCGGUGGCGAAAGCGCUCUGCUAGGCCGCAACUGACACUGAGGGACGAAAGCUAGGGGAGCGAAUGGGAUUAGAUACCCCAGUAGUCAAU
RNAcentral lists this ribosomal RNA (431 nucleotides) under uncultured bacterium. RNAcentral's name for it is "bacterial SSU rRNA". It matches the Rfam family "Bacterial small subunit ribosomal RNA", at positions 353 to 798 of the family's 1533-position model. The record is from RNAcentral.